ACGAUAAGAGGUGCCUUAUAAAAAAUAAGGUGGCACAGAAUCGGAGGCCCCGACUGUUUACUAAAAACACAACACAGUGCAAUCAUAAGUAUGGUAGUAUACUGUGUGAAAUUUGCCCGAUGCCAUUAAUAUAAGAAAAGUUAUGGGUUUGUUUAUUAAAACAAUACUGUGACCUAUCGAAAAUCUGGUUAAUAGCGGUCUUAACUAUGAGGAUCCUAAGGUAGCAAAAUCAAUUGGCCAUUAAAUGUGGUCCGGUAUCAAUAAUGUAACGAUGGUCUCACUGUCUCUACAACUUGCUCAGUGAAAUUGAAUUACGCGUGCAGAUGCGCGUUGCCUCCAGGGGGACGGGAAGACCCUAUGCAGCU
This 365-nucleotide ribosomal RNA is filed under the name Inocybe sp. TRH415. Its description in RNAcentral is "LSU rRNA". It matches the Rfam family "Bacterial large subunit ribosomal RNA", at positions 1738 to 2100 of the family's 2925-position model. Lineage: Eukaryota; Fungi; Basidiomycota; Agaricomycetes; Agaricales; Inocybaceae. The record is from RNAcentral.